This 67-nucleotide transfer RNA is filed under the name Blattisocius keegani. Its description in RNAcentral is "tRNA-Gln". Lineage: Eukaryota; Metazoa; Arthropoda; Arachnida; Mesostigmata; Blattisociidae. The record is from RNAcentral.
UAAUAUUUAUUGUAUAAGCAUUUUAAAUUUUGAGUUUAAAGGAGUAGAUUAAUUUCUAUAAUAUUGA